ACUUCUUUAGUAUUAACUAGUACGAUUGACCUCCAAUCAAUAGGCUCUGGUACAAGCCAGAAAGAAGUA
Non-coding RNA from Ailuropoda melanoleuca (giant panda), 69 nucleotides. Lineage: Eukaryota; Metazoa; Chordata; Mammalia; Carnivora; Ursidae. The record is from the annotation of a RefSeq genome assembly.